This 123-nucleotide long non-coding RNA is filed under the name Fukomys damarensis (Damara mole-rat). RNAcentral describes it as "lncRNA (ENSFDAG00000024626.1)". The record is from RNAcentral. Lineage: Eukaryota; Metazoa; Chordata; Mammalia; Rodentia; Bathyergidae.
UUCCUAAUUAGUCAUUAAGAACAAAUGAUGGAAAACUGUGAUGUAAUCCCAUAUAUCAGCCAGCUGGAUCGAUCUAAGACAACCACGCACUGGAGAAGGGAGAUUAGAUAAACAUGGACACAG